GGGCCAGUAGCUUAGUCUGGUUGGAGCACCCGGCUGAUAACCGGGAGGUCGAGGGUUCAAAUCCCUCCUGGCCCA
This 75-nucleotide transfer RNA is filed under the name Microcaldota archaeon. RNAcentral's name for it is "Candidatus Micrarchaeota archaeon tRNA-Ile". It matches the Rfam family "tRNA". From Rfam's summary of the family: Transfer RNA (tRNA) molecules are approximately 80 nucleotides in length. Their secondary structure includes four short double-helical elements and three loops (D, anti-codon, and T loops). Lineage: Archaea; Nanobdellati; Microcaldota. The record is from RNAcentral. RNAcentral also lists the same sequence under 1 other name.